This 540-nucleotide ribosomal RNA is filed under the name uncultured bacterium. Its description in RNAcentral is "bacterial SSU rRNA". It matches the Rfam family "Bacterial small subunit ribosomal RNA", at positions 355 to 896 of the family's 1533-position model. The record is from RNAcentral.
UGAGGAAUAUUGGUCAAUGGACGGAAGUCUGAACCAGCCAAGUAGCGUGCAGGAUGACGGCCCUAUGGGUUGUAAACUGCUUUUGUAUGGGGAUAAAGUUAGGGACGUGUCCCUAUUUGCAGGUACCAUACGAAUAAGGACCGGCUAAUUCCGUGCCAGCAGCCGCGGUAAUACGGAAGGUCCAGGCGUUAUCCGGAUUUAUUGGGUUUAAAGGGAGCGUAGGCUGGAGAUUAAGUGUGUUGUGAAAUGUAGACGCUCAACGUCUGAAUUGCAGCGCAUACUGGUUUCCUUGAGUACGCACAACGUUGGCGGAAUUCGUCGUGUAGCGGUGAAAUGCUUAGAUAUGACGAGGAACUCCGAUUGCGAAGGCAGCUGACGGGAGCGCAACUGACGCUUAAGCUCGAAGGUGCGGGUAUCAAACAGGAUUAGAUACCCUGGUAGUCCGCACAGUAAACGAUGGAUGCCCGCUGUUGGUACCUGGUAUCAGCGGCUAAGCGAAAGCAUUAAGCAUCCCACCUGGGGAGUACGCCGGCAACGGUG